CCGAGUUAACGCUUCUUUUAGAAGUGAACUCCCACCCCUUGUCAAUAAUAAAAUGUUGCUUCGGCAGACCACUGUUUUACAGUCACUGAUAUCUGAUAUGAGUGAGUGUCUGCCGAAGAAUUUUAUACUCUAAGUUUUAAACGUCUUAUUGUCUAAAUAAAAAUUAAAUAA
RNAcentral lists this unclassified non-coding RNA (171 nucleotides) under uncultured fungus. RNAcentral's name for it is "sequence contains ITS1, 5.8S rRNA gene". The record is from RNAcentral. Lineage: Eukaryota; Fungi.